This 345-nucleotide unclassified non-coding RNA is filed under the name soil metagenome. RNAcentral's name for it is "partial contains 5.8S ribosomal RNA, internal transcribed spacer 2, and large subunit ribosomal RNA". The stretch from base 1 to 119 matches the Rfam family "5.8S ribosomal RNA", at positions 35 to 154 of the family's 154-position model. The record is from RNAcentral.
GAUGAAGAACGUAGCGAAAUGCGAUACGUAAUGUGAAUUGCAAAUUCAGUGAAUCAUCGAGUCUUUGAACGCACAUUGCGCCCCCUGGUAUUCCGGGGGGCAUGCCUGUCCGAGCGUCAUUGCUGCCCUCAAGCACGGCUUGUGUGUUGGGCCCCGUCCUCCGAUCCCGGGGGACGGGCCCGAAAGGCAGCGGCGGCACCGCGUCCGGUCCUCGAGCGUAUGGGGCUUUGUCACCCGCUCUGUAGGCCCGGCCGGCGCUUGCCGAUCAACCCAAAUUUUUAUCCAGGUUGACCUCGGAUCAGGUAGGGAUACCCGCUGAACUUAAGCAUAUCAAUAAGCAGAGGA